AUGCUCUCUUUGGCAGCACAUAUACUAAAAAUUGGAACAAUAUAGAGAAGAUUAGCAUGGUCCCUGCACAAGGAUGAUAUGCAAAAGUGUUCCAUAUUUUU
RNAcentral lists this small nuclear RNA (101 nucleotides) under Jaculus jaculus (lesser Egyptian jerboa). The record is from RNAcentral. Lineage: Eukaryota; Metazoa; Chordata; Mammalia; Rodentia; Dipodidae.